AUGAACAUGUAUGUUCAUUGUGGCACUGUUUGCAAUAGCAAAUACCUGGAACCAACCCAAAUGUCCAUCAUCAAUAGACUGGAUAAAGAAAAUGUGGUACAUAUAUACCAUGGAAUACUACGCAGCCAUAAAAAACCAUUUGUGUCCUUUAUAGGGACAUGGAUGAAUUUGGAAACCAUCGUUUUCAGCAAACUAACACAAGAACAGAAAACCAAACACCAUAUGGUGUCACUCAUAGCUGGGAUGGGAAUAAUGAUGAUGACUUUGGAAACUGCAUAUUGAACAAAGCAAGCCUCCUUCAGCUGGUCCCUGGAUCAGCCCCUGAGAGCUCUUUCGCCUGAAUCCUACUAUCUUGCCUUCCAUGAAAUAAUAUUAUAUGAGCAAGAAGUAAACUUCUAUUACAUUAGCUUCUAAUUUGAGGCCCAUAGAUCUCCAAGGGGUCUAUAGAUUGAAUUCAGGGGGUCUGUGAACUUGGAAUGGGAAAAAUAUGAUUUUCACUGUCUUUCUUAUGUCAGUUUAGCAUUUUCUUCUGUUAUGAGUAUAGGGAACAAACCAGUAUUAGGAGUACCUAUGAAAAGUAUUUUUGUAUCACACUACACUUGUAGCAAAUAUGUGAAAUUUUAUUAAAGAUUCAAAAAAUAUAGUAGUAAUAAACCUUCUGGUAUAUUUAGUUAUUUGGUGUUUUAAUAAAGAAGAAUAUCUAUUAUUAUAUCAUAAAUCAUUUUAAUAUUUUAGCACUGCAUUUCAACAUAUUAGUUUCUUUUGAAACAAAAAUAUUAAUGUGUUUAAAAACAUUAUUUUGAUAAUGUGCACACAUGAACAUACAGAGUGAAAUAAUAAAGGUUGGAGACUCAGAAAGGCGGGAGAGUGGGAGGGGAAUGAUGGAUGAGAAAUUAUUUAGCAGGUACAAUGUAUACUAUUUGGGUUAUGCUUUUCAAAAAAACCAAGACUUUACCACCACACAAGGUAUCCAUGUAACAAAAUUGCAUUUGUACCCCUUAAAUCUAUAAAAAUAAAAAAUAUAUAAAAUAAAAAGAAAUCAAAACUUAUUUUGAGAAGGGGUUCUAAGCUUCACCAGACUGCUAAAGUGGCCCUAGUAUAAAAAGUUUACAAAUGCUUGUUUAUAUUAUGUUUGAGCCAUUUUACAAUUUGGGAUAUUUUUAUUAUACCUUUUAACAUCACCCUAAUUUACAGAAGCAAUGAAUGGUAUUUCUGGGGAUUUAGGAGUUGGUUAUUACACAUACAUGAAUUCAUACACAAAUCCUGUGAGGACAUACUAUUUAUUGCAAAUGUUUUUACCAGUUAAUCUAUGUCUUAAUUUUUUAAAGUUUGAUGUAUGAUAUUCAGCUGUGUUGAUAUAGUCAAAUAUAUGAAUCUCAUGUAAUUUUUAUAUAGCUUUCCCAUUUAAAAAAUUAUUUCCCAACCAGGUGAGGGAGGCAGGGAGGAUGGAUGCAAGGGAAAUGCUGGAACCUAUGUUUUGGCUGUGCACAGUCCUGGGUGGGUCGGGAGGCAGUGAUGUCAAGAGCCUAAAGAGCAGACUGUAAGAAAAGAGAAGCUGUACUUUGAAGACCUGUAUUAGAACUAAUGAGAGCUGGAUUUUGAAAAUACUUGGCAGCACCUCUUAGGUGCUUCAGCAGUUUGUAAGACAUGUGUCUGAAAUAACUACCAGUUUGGUUUUUGAAAGAUCCCAGAAUUGUGUGCAGUUACUUGGGCAAGUAGGUCAGGACCCUGUCUUGAGACAGGUGGAAGGAAAAAUUCCAGUCACAAUAUUUUCUCUAGCAACAGAUGAGAUGUGGUGAUCAGGUGACAGUGAAAUUUACCAAAUGGACUGUGUCAGUCAAAAGACAACAUGGCAUAGAAUAUCAGUAUUCCGGCCAGGCCUCAGAGAUGUGGUAUAUCCGUAUGUGAAAAAGGGGUCUCCAAUUUAUGUGAAAGAGGAAGUAGAUUAUGGUGAAUACAUGGAUAAAAAUAAUGUGAGAUGACAAGCAACAACAAUCACAGCUGAUAAUAUAUUUCUGAGUGACCAGACAAAAGAGGAGUAGAGUAGAUGAUUCUUCUUUGGCCAUCAUUUGGUACAGUCUCUUUUCCAAGUCAUGUGUAAACUUUGUAGUUUCCAAGGACAAGAAUCAAAAUACUCUUUUACAUUAAAAAAAACCCUCUCACCUAGGUGGGUGUGCUGUUGUGCAGCUGCACACGACUAGGGCAAUCAUAUCUAGGAUUCCCAAUUUUUUAAUACUUACCUAUGCAUUUUAUUUGUAUUUAAUUCUUUCAUCCACUGGGAAUAUAUUUCAAUCCCUGUUGUGAGAUGAAUAAAAAAGAUGGAUAUUCUUUCGAACACCAUUUUUUGAGGAAUUUAACAUUUCCACCUCUAUUUCUUUUGGAGCAUAUAAAAGUUCUUUAACAUAUUUGAGUGUGCUUUUGAACUGCUCCAUGCUCACUGUGCACCAGUACCACAUUUUAAAAGUUACUGUUUAUCUUAUAAUAUUGCUUAAUAUCUGACUGGACAAGUUUUCUUUCAUUAGUACCAAUUUUUGGUGUGUUUGAUAGUCCUAAAAAAGUAUUGUUCCCAAAAAAAUGCAGAAUGUGCUCUUGGCAAAAUGGAACUUGGUUUGACAGUUGCAGGAAAAUCUUGUAUUUCUAAACAAAGAAUGAUUCCAAGAUUUCUCUAUAUAUUUGUUCCCAAAGAAAAUAUUUUAUAUUUCACCCACAUAUUUAUGAGCAACUUCUCUUCAGAUUUCUCACUUAGACAUAAUGUGUGAUAAGAAGAGCUCUGGAAUAAGAGUCAGAAAUCCUCAACUUGAAACCAACUUUAAUUCUUUGGAGGUGUCUAACCUGAGACAGUUUGCUAUUGUUUUCGAGUUUUUGUUUACCCAAGGGUAAAAUAUGAAUAUAAUUUCCAUUCUACCUAUCACACAGGACAGCUGUAAAGAAUGAGAUAAUAUAUUUGAAAUCUCUUUUAAAACUACAUAGUAUUACAGGUAACAAAUUAGCAUUUAAUUAAAGUUACUGUUUUGCUGAAGCCAGAGAUGUAUUUACUCUUGUCUACAUUCACCUUGCCACAUUCUGUAGAGCAUAAUUUGAUUUACGACAGAUGUAUCUUGGAUAUUGUGGGGAUCGCUCCUGCGAAGGGCCCUUGACAGGACCCUCGCCAUCUUGAGCUUGAGCCCAUACACCUUUCUCCUCUCCUGGAGGCUUUUGAGCUGAGGGAAAGGAGGAAGUCUGGUUGCACUGAUUUUAUAAACAUCAAUCUUUGCCUCUGACAUUUGCAACAGAAUGGCUGAGCUCAGGCCUUGUGGUCUAAUGAGACAUUGUAUGGUUAGAUAUUGUGUGCUUCCCAGUUCCUUCUCUGCACAAUAACUGUAUGACUUUGUUUACCUCUGCUAACUCAGUCAUAUUGUUUGCAUAUGAUUCUAUAUGAGUAGGCAAGGUUAGAAUGACAUUUGGAAAGGUCCAGCUAUACCUUGUUAACAAUCUUAAUUGCUUGCUUAACUGAUUUUAGAAAAACACAUGUUUAGAUUUAUGGUCCCCUUUUUGCAAACUUUAUUGUCCCUUUGCUGUAUACCCUUUGAUUAAGAGUCAUACUUUCUGUACCCCUUUUCUUGUGAUUUUUUGUUCUUGAUUUUAUUUCAAGAUACAAUGGAAUGUACGUCACUCCUCAGACACUGAAAGGUAUAUAACCUGUAGUUUGCACAAAUAAACUUGCUGUCUUGGCACUUAUUGCUCCGGCAUUGCCUGGCAGUCCUCCAGACCCCACUCUCUAUCUAUCUAUCUUUUCUUCCGUGCACUCCCUCUUCCAGGUUAAGAACACUUAAGUGGGGCUGAGGCUCUCCACUGGUCAGAAGCCCCCCGGCAGAUGUGCCGGACACCCACAGGAUAUUAUCCAAGAAGGUUUAGUUUUACUGGAGAAGCCAAAAAGAUCUCGUUAUAAGUUAGUCCCAUGACAUGGACUCUGAGGAUAGUAUUAGACACUGGUUAGAAUUUAUGUACCUUCCAGUGUGUGAUGGGAUAACUGGGGAAGAAAAUUAAUAACCUGGUCUGAUAUGACCCAAAGUUAAAACUGGGGGAUGAAAGUUAGGAGGGAGUUAUACAAAGAAAAUGAGAGCCUGGUUUUAGUUGUAUAAAAGAAUCCUUUGGAAUAGGGAUUAAGAUUCUAAAUGACUAAGAAUUGUCAAAUUUAUACAUGUCAAAGCCCAUAUUUACAAGGGUUUGUCAAACACAGGUCGAACACAGUGGUGAUAUAUAUACAUAUGUAUAUAUAUUUGGUAACAUUUAAUGCAGAGUUAAAUUUUAUUUCCUUGCAAAACAAACACAUUCUUGGAAGACAGUGUAUAGCACACUAUGCCUUCCAAAAUUAUAUGUACAAAUUGUGAUUGAUAUGUUUCUACUCUAAAGUUACCGUGUGUGUAUAGUCUGUGCUGUUGUUGUGGAGAGAAUUACUGCAAGCAUCAACAAGGAAG
Callithrix jacchus (white-tufted-ear marmoset) is the source of this 4457-nucleotide long non-coding RNA. Lineage: Eukaryota; Metazoa; Chordata; Mammalia; Primates; Cebidae. The record is from Ensembl.